RNAcentral lists this ribosomal RNA (852 nucleotides) under uncultured Streptococcus sp. Its description in RNAcentral is "bacterial SSU rRNA". It matches the Rfam family "Bacterial small subunit ribosomal RNA", at positions 34 to 869 of the family's 1533-position model. The record is from RNAcentral. Lineage: Bacteria; Bacillati; Bacillota; Bacilli; Lactobacillales; Streptococcaceae.
CGCUGGCGGCUGCCUAAUACAUGCAAGUAGAACGCUGAAGAGAGGAGCUUGCUCUUCUUGGAAGAGUUGCGAACGGGUGAGUAACGCGUAGGUAACCUGCCUUGUAGCGGGGGAUAACUAUUGGAAACGAUAGCUAAUACCGCAUAACAAUGGGUGACCCAUGUCAUUCAUUUGAAAGGGGCAACUGCUCCACUACAAGAUGGACCUGCGUUGUAUUAGCUAGUAGGUGAGGUAACGGCUCACCUAGGCGACGAUACAUAGCCGACCUGAGAGGGUGAUCGGCCACACUGGGACUGAGACACGGCCCAGACUCCUACGGGAGGCAGCAGUAGGGGAUCUUCGGCAAUGGGGGCAACCCUGACCGAGCAACGCCGCGUGAGUGAAGAAGGUUUUCGGAUCGUAAAGCUCUGUUGUAAGUCAAGAACGAGUGUGAGAGUGGAAAGUUCACACUGUGACGGUAGCUUACCAGAAAGGGACGGCUAACUACGUGCCAGCAGCCGCGGUAAUACGUAGGUCCCGAGCGUUGUCCGGAUUUAUUGGGCGUAAAGCGAGCGCAGGCGGUUUGAUAAGUCUGAAGUUAAAGGCUGUGGCUCAACCAUAGUUCGCUUUGGAAACUGUCAAACUUGAGUGCAGAAGGGGAGAGUGGAAUUCCAUGUGUAGCGGUGAAAUGCGUAGAUAUAUGGAGGAACACCGGUGGCGAAAGCGGCUCUCUGGUCUGUCGCUGACGCUGAGGCUCGAAAGCGUGGGGAGCGAACAGGAUUAGAUACCCUGGUAGUCCUCGCCGUAAACGAUGAGUGCUAGGUGUUGGGUCCUUUCCGGGAUUCAGUGCCGCAGCUAACGCAUUAAGCACUC